UUUUAGUUUUUUAUUCUUGGUCAGGACGAACGCUGGCGGCGUGCUUAACACAUGCAAGUCGAGCGAUGAAGCUUUUUUUCGGGAAGUGGAUUAGCGGCGGACGGGUGAGUAACACGUGGGUAACCCGCCUCAAAGUGGGGGGAUACCCUUUCCGAAAGGAAAGAUUAAUACCGCAUAACAUAAGAGAAUCGCAUGAUUUUUUUAUCAAAGAUUUAUUGCUUUGAGAUGGACCCGCGGCGCAUUAGAUAGUUGGUAAGGUAACGGCUAACCAAGGCAACGAUGCGUAGCCGACCUGAGAGGGUGAUCGGCCACAUUGGAACUGAGACACGGUCCAGACUCCUACGGGAGGCAGCAGUGGGGAAUAUUGCGCAAUGGGGGAAACCCUGACGCAGCAACGCCGCGUGGGUGAUGAAGGUCUUCGGAUUGUAAAACCCUGUUUUCUGGGACGAUAAUGACGGUACCAGAGGAGGAAGCCACGGCUAACUACGUGCCAGCASCCGCGGUAAUACGUAGGUGGCGAGCGUUGUCCGGAUUUACUGGGCGUAAAGGGUGCGUAGGCGGAUGUUUAAGUGGGAUGUGAAAUCCCCGGGCUUAACCUGGGGGCUGCAUUCCAAACUGGAUAUAUAGAGUGCAGGAGAGGAAAGCGGAAUUCUUAGUGUAGCGGUGAAAUGCGUAGAGAUUAGGAAGAACACCAGUGGCGAAGGCGGCUUUCUGGGCUGUAACUGACGCUGAGGCACGAAAGCGUGGGUAGCAAACAGGAUUAGAUACCCUGGUAGUCCACGCCGUAAACGAUGGAUACUAGGUGUAGGGGGUAUCAACUCCCCCUGUGCCGCAGUAACACAAUAAGAUACCGCCG
Molecule: ribosomal RNA, 856 nt
Filed under: Clostridium botulinum
Lineage: Bacteria; Bacillati; Bacillota; Clostridia; Eubacteriales; Clostridiaceae
Description: bacterial SSU rRNA
Source: RNAcentral